This 253-nucleotide ribosomal RNA is filed under the name uncultured bacterium. Its description in RNAcentral is "partial 16S ribosomal RNA". It matches the Rfam family "Bacterial small subunit ribosomal RNA", at positions 524 to 777 of the family's 1533-position model. The record is from RNAcentral.
UACGAAGGGGGCUAGCGUUGUUCGGAAUACUGGGCGUAAAGCGUGCGCAGGCGGCUUCUCAAGUCAGGGGUGAAAGCCCAGAGCUCAACUCUGGAAUUGCCUUUGAGACUGAGUGGCUUGAGUACGAGAGAGGUGAGUGGAAUUCCCAGUGUAGAGGUGAAAUUCGUAGAUAUUCGCAAGAACACCAGUGGCGAAGGCGGCUCACUGGCCCGGUACUGACGCUGAGGUGCGAAAGCGUGGGGAGCAAACAGGG